Molecule: long non-coding RNA, 5314 nt
Filed under: Sus scrofa (pig)
Lineage: Eukaryota; Metazoa; Chordata; Mammalia; Artiodactyla; Suidae
Description: lncRNA (ENSSSCG00000045233.1)
Source: RNAcentral
GGCCUCGCUCAGUGGGUUAAGGAUCUGGUGUUGCUGUGAGCUGUGGUGUGGGUUGCAGAUGCGGCUCAGAUCCUGCAUUGCUGUGGCUGUGGCGUAGGCCGGGAGCUGUAGCUCCAAUUCGACCCCUAGCCUGGGGACCUCCAUAUGCCACGGGUGUCCUCUAAAAAGCAAAAAUAAAUAAAUAAAUAAUGAAAUAAUGAAAUAAAAAAUAAAAUAAAACAUUCCUGAAAAUAAUUUGGCAAUUCCCAAUAAAUUUUGACAUACACUUACUAUCUAACCCCACUAUCACACUUUUAGGUAUUUAUCCCAGAGAAAUGAGAACUUAUAUUUGUACAAAAUCCUAUGCAGUUUCAUUGCAGCUACAAUUUCACAGCAGUAAAUCUUCAUAGCAGCUUUAUUUGUAAAACCCCCAAAUUGAAAACAACCAGAUAUCCCCCAUUACUCAAUGGGUGAAUGGAAAAACAAACUUUGGUACAGCCAGACAAUGAAAUACCACUCAAGAAUAAAAAUUGGAGUUCUCUUGUGGCACAGUGGGUUAAGGAUCCAGCACUGUCCUGCAGUGGCUUGGGUUCGAUCCCUGAUUCAAGAACUUCCACAGGCCACGGGUGCAGCCAAAAAGAAAAAGAAUAAAACGAAAGCGCUAUUAAAUACACUAAACUUGGCUGGAGCUGAAAGACAUUAUGCUGACUAGAAAAAUGAUUUUAUAGUCUAUGGUCAAAAGGUGUUAUAGUCUAUGAUUCUAUUUAUAGAACCUAUUCAAAAUGGCAAAAUGAUCAUGAUGAAAGGCAGGUCGGUGGUUGCGAGGGUGAGGCUUGGGGAGGGUGUGAUUGUAAAAACGUAGCACAGGCAUUUCUUUGUUGUGAUGGGAGAGUUCUGUAUCCUGAUUGUGAUGUGGUUGCACAUGUAUAUAUGUAUGUAUGAUAAUGUUUCCUAGAACCAAAGAGUGAAAAAAUGAGUGCGUGACAAAAUACGGUGAAAAUCCUAAUAAGGUCCAUAGGUGAGUUAAUGGUAUUGUACUAAUGUCAGUUUUCCUUGCUUGCUAAUCUCCUGUGAAUAUAUAAGAUGUUAUUAUUGGAGAAGUUGGGUGACGCAUACACAGAAUCUCUCUGUAUUAUUUUAGCAACUUUACUGUGAGUCAAAAAUUAUUUCUAAAUGCAGUUUAAAAAGGCUCUCCCUCGAAGUUAUGUUGAGUCAACAUUGACAGGGGUAAGAAGGGGCGAUUGGAGACCACUGAGGAGGCUACUGCCUCAUCCAGGUGAGAGAUGAUGGUGGCAGGGGUGAGGGUGGGAUUGGCGAGGGCGCUCCUACCUGACCCUCUGGACUGUGCAAUAGAGCAGCUUUCAGAAGUGCCAGACACCCAGCCCGUCACUGCACUGCCACCAUCUCUAUCAGCUCAGUCAAUCUCUUGCUCGUUGUUCAUCCUAAGGCUGCUUUCGCCCAUCCUGGCUGCCGUUUGAGUUCCACAGGCACUGUUGGAUACCUGCUUCCUUGUGCCAGCAUUGCCCAAGCCUUCUUAAAUCCUUGCCUUCUACUGUCUGAGCUGCAGUUCUUCUGCCCAUCCAUCAGGAAGGAGACCACCACCUGCCCCAUGUGAUUUGAACUGGACUUUCCCACUGCUGCCCACUGGAGGUGUCACAUUCUGCUCUUCCCUCUGCCUCUAUUCUCCAGAAGCUUCUAAUUCCUUUUCCUCAUCCAUGGGGAAGAGGUCACCCUAGGCAUGUUUUGCAGUAGGGCCUCUCACCUCUCAGCUCUUUCUCAAGAUGCUUUCCUAUCUGAGAAAAGGAAGGAGAUCCUCUCUGUCAAAGUGUUUUCCUGCCUACUGAGCCAGAUUCAUGGUCUGUCUUCUCACCCUCUCUUAGGAAUAUGCUAGCGCAGUGAUCUGUGCGUAAGAACCAAAGUCUCAGUCAUUCCGAUUUCCACCCCCUAUGAUGUGGAAGAUGCAACUGCCCACUUCUGGUUUUGGCAACCAACCCUUCAGGCAUCGCCGUAACAUCAGCACAAUGGCCUCUGGGGCAUCCUUCUCGUGGGAGAUAAAUCUCUCCUCAUUGGUUCCUGGACACAGCCAGGUCCUCCACUGUCCCAGCCUCCUAGAAGCAUAUGCUGAUGGCUUUGUGAUCACGCAGGUAUGAACACAUUGCCAAGGCAGAUAGCCCUGCCAGGUCCCUGAUAUACAGUAUUUACAUUAAGUCCUUGAGCAGUUCUGGACCAUUGAGUCAUAAGUGCAGCGUGUUUUUUAGUAAGGUUGUGAGAAUCCUUGUAUGAGUUUUGAAUCACCAUGGCAUUAUCUCAAAAAACAAUGGUUGGGACUUUUGCCAGUUGCUUCCAAAUGUAGAUUUAACUUUUAUGGAAAAAUAUAAAAGCUUUAGCUUGCUUGGAAAUCUUUCCAUUUUCAUUCUAUGAAAACAAUUUUUAAAAAUCCAAGUAUACGUGACUUCUAGCACUUCAUAACAAUCAUAAAAUUACUACUAGAAAACCAAGAAUAAUGUUUUAAGUCAACAUUAAAAUAUAGCAACACUUUACUUUUUUACUCAUUCUCCCUCCCAAAAUCUAUAUAUUCUCUGUGAUGUUAUUUAAGGUGAAGAAACAUGUCAAAAGUCAUUAAACAAGCACUGAUCAUCCUGUAAGAUGCAAGAUCCAAAGCCAUAGUUUUCACUUCCCUCAUUGAUGCAGUUCUUUCUAGACAUAGCCCAUCCAUCUGUUAUUCUGUUAUAUCCCCUGCCCUCCUGCUAAGAUUUAUCUUUAGUCACAUAAUUUAUUUUUCCCAUCUAAGGAUGGUUGACCCAUUAACAUGUGUAAUAAACUCAUUUGUAUUCCAUCUAUAAUCAUCUGAAUUAUUUGCAUGUUAAAAUUUUUUCCCUCUGCCUGUUUUUCUAAUUUCAUAUUCCCUGGUGCUCACUCUCGGUACAGAGCAGAGAGUGAUGUUUAAUUGCAGGUGUAUCACUUCUGAACCCUGUGUCAUUUUUCUGUCACUUGGACUAUCAAACAGAUUCUUCAACAGUUGUACAUUCAGGAUCUAUCAGUGUUCUUCUUCAUUCUCAUCAUCAGUGUUUUCUCAGACAAUUGGGGUGUUCUCAGCCUAAAUGAGCUUUACAUUCAAUUUUAUCUGAAGCUUUUACUCUAAUUGUACAUUCCACAAAAUUUUACUUUGUUCUCAAAUCAAUUACUACAGAAGUAUAAAUGCAUGGAUAAAAUAUUAGUUUUGAGACAAAACCGGUCUGGAUUGGAAUCCUUAGUUUGCCACCAAAUGGCUAUUCUUGUGAGCACAUUCAAUUUUCUAAAGCUUGGUUCAUCCAUCUCUGAAAUGUAUAUAAUAAAAGCUGCAUAUGUGAAACACUUGGUACAAUGCGUGGCAUGUAGUAGGCACUCAGUAAGUGGCAGUUAUUAUUAUUGCUAUAAUAAUAUUGUUAUAAUAUAUUGUUAUUAUUAUUCCAAGUGCCAUCCCAAACUCAGUGAUGUGAAAUAUAACAGGUUAGCACAUUAUGACAGGAUGGCACUUGCCGUCAUUCUCCUCCCAUGAACGUAGCCUGUGUGUCACACAUUUAUGCUCUAAACGUUAUGCAAAUAGUAUAAAAUUAAACAUUGGAAAAUUAGCAUUAUCUAACUUCUAUUAAAAUUUGGAAGCCAACUAAAUAUAUCUAUUCUGACCAGAAGCUAAGGGUAUAUUUUAGCUUAUGGCACUGACCAUUUAGCACAGUGUAUAAGCAUAUUUUUAUUUUUAAAUAAAAAAAUAUUUUAUGGAAAUAUAGUUGGUUUGCAAUGUUGUGUUAAUUUCUGCUGUAUAGCAGAAUGAUUCAGUUGUGCAUCCGUUUGUAUAUUCUUUAUGUAUAUUCAUUAUGGUUUAUCCCAGGGUAUUGAAUAUAGUUCCCUGUGCCAAACAGUAGGACCUUAUGUUUAUCCAUGCUGUAUAAUAGUUGGCAUCUAUAAGAAUAUUUUAAAAUAUUCAACAUAUUUAAUAGAUAAUGUACAGUAUUGGAUCACAAGUCUUUAAAAUCUAUUUAACAGGUCUGUGACACUGUUAAAAGAAAACUCAUGUGUGCAGGACCCAGAAUGCAGACAAACUAUUAGACUUACAAGAGAGGAAGGCUGGCAGGGUAGGAAGAAAGAUUUAAUGCUAGAGUCUGCUGCUGGUUCUGUUCCCUUGGACAAAUCGCACACCUUCUUACACUUUUGCUUUUUUCUAGAUCACUUGUUUUCUAGGAUUACUUUUUUAUUAACAUCCCCUUGUGAUGAUAGAGGACCAGUUUUUUUUUUUUUCCCAAAUAUCUUCAAAUCUUAUUGGACACUAUAUUCUUCAGGUCACAAGGUGGCUUCAUUUAUUUAAAUGUGGCUUUUGAAGUCUGCAAAUAACAACUCUGUUUUUUAGUAGUAAAAUAUCCUAGCCUCACAAAAUUGUUCCUACUAGCAAACUAGGAGCUUGGAAAUUGACGUUUGGUCUAUGGUUCUCAAAGAAGAGGCUUUAAAAUGUUUCCGUUUUGGGGCCUCACCCCUGACCAGUUGAAUCAGAAUCGCCAGGGGGUGGGACUGAAGCUCUCCACAAUCUGUGGUUCUGGAUGAUUCUGGAUGAUUCAGAUGCACACGGAGGCCAGGCCUAUCUUCAUCUAAAUUUAAUUUCCCUUUCAUUAAAAUAGGAUUUUUUUUUUUUCCCCUGAUAGGGGGCCAUCUGGGAAUGAAUAUCUUCACACUUUCUUGUUGGUAAAAAUCUUCUUUGGUUGAAGAGAAAUGCUUUAACUUGAGAGGCAUCUCUUUGUUUCUUUUAGUAAAUGAGCUUUAAAAUUUAUAGAGAAACUUUAAAAAUCAUCAUAAUCAUAUGUUACUGCUCAGUUCCUUAAGAGACUCUAUCUUAGGCUAGCAAUACAUAAACCAUAACACACACUUGCAAAACAUACGUCUUAGUCUGUUUCGGCUGCUGUAACAAAACUGCCAUAGUCUGAGUGGCUUAUAAACAACAGAAAUUUCUCUCUCGCUGUUCUGGAGGCUUGAGAAGUCCAAGGUCAAGUUGUGGGCAGAUCUGAUGUUUGGCGAGAGCCCAUUUUUUAUAGAUGGAUGUCUUCUCGCUGUGUCCUCACGGGGUGGAAGGGGCAAGGGAGCUCUCUGGGGUCUUUCUUAUAACAGUGCUGGACCCAUUUAUGAGGGCUCUGCCCCCGUGACCUAAUCACCUCCCAAAGGCCCAGCUUCUGAUACUCUCACCUUUGGAGUUAGGGUUUAAACAUAGGUGUUUGGGGGGGCAGGGAUACAGACACAGUCUGUAGCAAUGCAUAUAGAAUUUUCAAAUUAGUAAAAGGCAACUAAAUAUCAGGAGUAAAUAUCCUUGACC